RNAcentral lists this ribosomal RNA (254 nucleotides) under uncultured bacterium. RNAcentral describes it as "partial 16S ribosomal RNA". It matches the Rfam family "Bacterial small subunit ribosomal RNA", at positions 524 to 776 of the family's 1533-position model. The record is from RNAcentral.
UACGUAGGCAGCAAGCGUUGUUCGGAGUUACUGGGCGUAAAGGGUGUGUAGGCGGUCUUCUAAGUUUGGUGUGAAAUCUCCCGGCUUAACUGGGAGGGUGCGCCGAAAACUGGAAGGCUUCGAGUGCGGGAUGGGAGAGUGGAAUUCCUGGUGUAGCGGUGAAAUGCGUAGAUAUCAGGAGGAACACCUGUGGUGUAGACGGCUCUCUGGACCGUAACUGACGCUGAGACACGAAAGCGUGGGUAGCAAACAGG